AAAACUUCUAAUGCACGGUCUACGUAAACACCCUGUACACAGUUAAGCUCAGCUAAAUAUCUAUAAUGCCUCAGCAUUCGUAUACUUUUCCUCUCUGUCCCGUUUAAACACGGUCCUGAAAAUGUUAAAUGGCAAAGGAGCCCGCAUCUCAACGCCUGAACUGGCCGUGUUUUCAUCCUUCUGCAGUCAUUUUUAUUCCGCGGGUUGCCAUUGAAUAAUCACGCAAUCUGAAUAUUGAAUUAUUUUCUAAUCAAACUAGUCAGGUCACGUGUGAAAUUUUAGCUGCGGACCUUUGCAGUUCCAUUUUAAGUAACGUUUUGGAAAAAAAACAGUGGUGUGAAGCCCAGUCAAAACACAACUUUUUUGGAUUGAAUCAAAAAAAAAUUGGAUUAUGGAUUUUAGAAUAAUACUUAAGGAAAACAACCAGAACACCACGGAGCAGGCGACUAUUUACCAAGAAGAAAAAACAGUCGACUACACAAUCACGUUUGUCAUAGGGUCUUGUGUUCUAAUAGCAUUUUUGCUACUUGGAGUGGUUGCAAGCGCUUAUUUGUGCGUAACUUUGAAGAAAGGAAGCUUCCUGUGGGUUACGGAUAGUAAUAGACAAUUAGCUAAGGAUAAAUGCGAGGAAAUCGGACAAAAUGAUA
Molecule: long non-coding RNA, 647 nt
Organism: Dendroctonus ponderosae (mountain pine beetle)
Lineage: Eukaryota; Metazoa; Arthropoda; Insecta; Coleoptera; Curculionidae
Exons: 2
Source: RefSeq, a predicted model, not a curated record